AUUUUUAAAAUAAGAGCUCUAGUCUAAAUAUAGACUCCGAAAUUGAAAUAAGUUUUACUAAUUUCGAUAAUUAUUGCUUAUUUUACAGAAAUUAAAUUUUUCCGUCAUUCCACUCUAGAAUAAAAAUGACUCGUUUUAUUUACGACACAAUCUAAUUUUAAAUUUCGAAUCAAUCUAAUUCCAGAACAAAUUACUUAAAAUUCUUUCUUACUAAUAAUUUUCCUUUUAAUCCCUGACUCUUCUUCCUUUUUUUUUAAGAAAAAUAUUUUUAAAAAAAAUUUAAAUGCCUAUUCUAAUUUUCAUUUCAAUAAUAAAUAAAUUAAACAUUUUAAAAUAAUUUUUAUUUGUUAUUCCUAUUUCAAUCAUGCACUAAAAUUU
Molecule: long non-coding RNA, 378 nt
Filed under: Ananas comosus (pineapple)
Lineage: Eukaryota; Viridiplantae; Streptophyta; Magnoliopsida; Poales; Bromeliaceae
Description: long non-coding RNA (ACOM_LNC014357)
Source: RNAcentral